This is a long non-coding RNA of Cylas formicarius (sweet potato weevil), 1198 nucleotides long. RefSeq lists it as uncharacterized. Lineage: Eukaryota; Metazoa; Arthropoda; Insecta; Coleoptera; Brentidae. The record is from RefSeq and is a predicted model, not a curated record. The transcript is spliced from 4 exons.
AGAAUAUUAGGUCUGAUUUUUUACAGAUGAGAAUGCUAGAAACAUUAUUUGUCACCUUCGCAAAGGCGCAUGAUACUUUGGUAAAGUAGACGAAAAAGUGCCGGGUUACGUUUUUGAGAGUACCACAGACGUAAUUCCGAUGGUCACCCGUACGAGGUACUAUAGCAUUAGAAGUCAACCCUCGUUCACUGAGCCCAGCAAACAUCAGGCGCAAGUCGCGCAGACGAAAGGAUACAAGUUACUAAUUUAAGACGAGUAAUUAAUAGCAGCAAGUGAGGAGGAUAACGAAGUAUUCACAUAAAAAAAAUCAACCGGUAGUGCGAAACAGGUCAAGGUCAAGUUCAGUGCAAGCAUGAACAACACAGCAAUAACUGAAGCUUUGGCAACCGCCAACCAACGCUACCACAGUUUGGGUUGGUUGGGAUAUGAAGCUUAAAAUAGCGUAUUUCGAAACAUUCCUGGAAGGAACUGCCGCAUUAUGGUUCAGAAAGUUCUUAGAUGAAAACGGAGACAAAGCCUGGGAAGAUGUCGCUACCGUGUCUAAAGCAGAAUUGUAUUAUCUAUAGGAUUUUGGAAGUGCGUUUAAUAGAAAUGUGCAAGAAAGAAAACCAGGGCCCAACGAACUAGUGAAGGAGUACUUUUACGUACUUCAGGUAAGGCAGCGGAACUGAACGAAAGAGGCAGAACGUGCCUACAAAAUCUGGGGAAGAAAACCUCGAAUUACUCAGGACCCGAAUUUAUUCAGCCUCAGUCAGGAUGGGAAAUGUUUUCGGAGCCGGCAAACAAUGAUAGCAACUACAGCGAUAUAGAAGCAAGCAAGUAUUUUAAGAGGUAGUCGUCAAACCCCAAUACUGAUGGAAAUUCUGUCCUCAACUCCACAAAGCGACGUUUCCAUAUUUGCCAUACACCAAGCCACUUCGCCAUUUUCUGCCCAAGCGCUGGAUGACGAAUGAAUUACGAGCCUGCUUGUCUUCGAAGUUUUGUCCCUCUUAGCUGACUUGCUUCAGGGUCUUCAGGAACUACCCUGUAGAUGUACCUUGAAGAUCAGAUACACGGACACGUGACCCUUGGAUCGGCCAUGUUUGACGGUGGCCAAAGCUUCUGUGAUUGCUGUGUUACUCAUGCUUGCACUGACCUUGACCUGUUAUGUACUACCGGCUGGUUUUUUUAUGUCCGGCUGAACAGAAGUCAUUAUGGU